RNAcentral lists this long non-coding RNA (374 nucleotides) under Diabrotica virgifera virgifera (western corn rootworm). RNAcentral's name for it is "uncharacterized LOC126888867". The record is from RNAcentral. Lineage: Eukaryota; Metazoa; Arthropoda; Insecta; Coleoptera; Chrysomelidae.
AACAUGUAAUCGUAUUUAUUUUCCUUCCAUUUUGUCAGAGGCGCUGAUGUCGGCAUUGUGAUUGGUGGAACAUGACUUUUGACAAAUCCUGCGCUAUCUGUGUUUAAUGUUCGUGUUCGUUCGUUCGUUGUCGUUCAGUCAUUUUAUGGUCGGUUUAUGUGAUGUGUUUGUGUCACCAUAAAAAGCUGAUAUUCAGUCGUGUUUUUUGAUAUUUUGUAAUCGAGUACCUUUUUAAAGGUCUAAUGGCUCCCAUCAGGUGUUGUGUGCAGACGGAGGAAAAAUUCAACGAGUAAACAUAUUUAAUCCAAAUUAAAUACUCAUAUUUCUAUGUAAAAUGUCACAUUAUUGUAUAAAUAAAUAAUUAAGAAUCAAAA